RNAcentral lists this ribosomal RNA (411 nucleotides) under Bacteroidota bacterium. RNAcentral's name for it is "Bacteroidetes bacterium partial 16S ribosomal RNA". It matches the Rfam family "Bacterial small subunit ribosomal RNA", at positions 355 to 776 of the family's 1533-position model. Lineage: Bacteria; Pseudomonadati; Bacteroidota. The record is from RNAcentral.
UGGGGAAUAUUGCGCAAUGGGGGAAACCCUGACGCAGCGACGCCGCGUGCGGGAUGAAGGCCUUCGGGUUGUAAACCGCUUUUGAUUGGGAGCAAGCUUUCGGGUGAGUGUACCUUUCGAAUAAGCGCCGGCUAACUACGUGCCAGCAGCCGCGGUAAUACGUAGGUGGCAAGCGUUGUCCGGAUUUAUUGGGCGUAAAGCGAGCGCAGGCGGUCAAUUAAGUCUGAUGUGAAAGCCCCCGGCUCAACCGGGGAGGGUCAUUGGAAACUGGUUGACUUGAGUGCAGAAGAGGGGAGUGGAAUUCCAUGUGUAGCGGUGAAAUGCGUAGAUAUAUGGAGGAACACCGGUGGCGAAAGCGGCUCUCUGGUCUGUAACUGACGCUGAGGCUCGAAAGCGUGGGGAGCGAACAGG